This is a long non-coding RNA of Sapajus apella (tufted capuchin), 92 nucleotides long. RefSeq lists it as uncharacterized. The record is from RefSeq and is a predicted model, not a curated record. NCBI's taxonomy places the organism in Eukaryota, Metazoa, Chordata, Mammalia, Primates, Cebidae. The transcript is spliced from 3 exons.
GUAGAGAUGGGGUUUCACCAUGUUGGCCAGGAUGGUCUUGAUCUCCUGACCUGAGGUAAUCCACCUGCAUUAGCCUGACAAAGUGCUGGGAU